AUUAAUUUUUUAUUUAAAUAAUAUAAAAUUUUAGAAUUCAUUAAUAUAUAAUUUAAUUAUAUAGAUAGUA
This is a non-coding RNA of Spodoptera frugiperda (fall armyworm), 70 nucleotides long. The record is from the annotation of a RefSeq genome assembly. NCBI's taxonomy places the organism in Eukaryota, Metazoa, Arthropoda, Insecta, Lepidoptera, Noctuidae.